CUCCAGCCAGUGAUUCAGAUGCAAACACGUCCACACUCACCAGGAUCUUACGACAGUAACAAAACCAGCGGCUGCCGUCUUCUCCGGUCAGGACGAAGGAGAAGGUCUCACUGCGAACACAUCGACACCCAGGAGAGGGCUUCCAGUCCUGUGAGUCAGGGAAGCAGAACUUGGGAAUGACCUUCAGCUGAUCCUCAGCCUCUCUGGAGAGCCGGGACGACUUCUCAAACUGAAACAGAGGAACUCAGUUAAGCACAGCAGCGGUUCUCUAAACGGGAUCCUUGAAGUGGUUCCAGGGGAGUAGGUGUUUCCAGGGGAGCCUUUUCUCAGCGACACCACCACGAAGAUCUGGAAAAGCUGCUGCUGCUGCAGCUGGAUUAAGUCUCUCUCCAAGGUGCGGUAGCCUGGCCGA
This is a long non-coding RNA of Scomber japonicus (chub mackerel), 412 nucleotides long. RefSeq lists it as uncharacterized. The transcript has 3 exons. NCBI's taxonomy places the organism in Eukaryota, Metazoa, Chordata, Actinopteri, Scombriformes, Scombridae. The record is from RefSeq and is a predicted model, not a curated record.